This 71-nucleotide transfer RNA is filed under the name Sphaerodactylus townsendi. RNAcentral describes it as "tRNA-Ala". It matches the Rfam family "tRNA". From Rfam's summary of the family: Transfer RNA (tRNA) molecules are approximately 80 nucleotides in length. Their secondary structure includes four short double-helical elements and three loops (D, anti-codon, and T loops). Further hydrogen bonds mediate the characteristic L-shaped molecular structure. tRNAs have two regions of fundamental functional importance: the anti-codon, which is responsible for specific mRNA codon recognition, and the 3' end, to which the tRNAs corresponding amino acid is attached (by aminoacyl-tRNA synthetases). tRNAs cope with the degeneracy of the genetic code in two manners: having more than one tRNA (with a specific anti-codon) for a particular amino acid; and 'wobble' base-pairing, i.e. permitting non-standard base-pairing at the 3rd anti-codon position. Lineage: Eukaryota; Metazoa; Chordata; Lepidosauria; Squamata; Sphaerodactylidae. The record is from RNAcentral.
GGGGAGAUGACUCAGUGUGGAGCAUCUGCUUGGCAUGCAGACAGUCCCAGGUUCAAUCUCUGGUAUCUCCA